UUUCCGUAGGUGAACCUGCGGAAGGAUCAUUACUGAGUGAGGGCCCUCUGGGUCCAACCUCCCACCCGUGUUUAUUGUACCUUGUUGCUUCGGGGCGCCCGCCCCACGGCCGCCGGGGGGCUUCUGCCCCCGGGUCCGCGCGCACCGGAGAAACCAUUGAACUCUGUCUGAAGAUUGCAGUCUGAGCAUAAACUAAAUAAGUUAAAACUUUCAACAACGGAUCUCUUGGUUCCG
Molecule: unclassified non-coding RNA, 234 nt
Filed under: plant metagenome
Description: partial contains small subunit ribosomal RNA, internal transcribed spacer 1, and 5.8S ribosomal RNA
Source: RNAcentral